CAGGGAAUCUUCCACAAUGGGCGAAAGCCUGAUGGAGCGACGCCGCGUGGGGGAUGAAGGUUUUCGGAUCGUAAACCCCUUUUCUCAGGGAAGAGUAAGGACGGUACCUGAGGAAUAAGCAUCGGCUAACUACGUGCCAGCAGCCGCGGUAAUACGUAGGAUGCAAGCGUUGUCCGGAAUCACUGGGCGUAAAGGGUCCGUAGGCGGUCUGUUAAGUUCCUUGUGAAAUUUCAGGGCUCAACCCUGAAAGGUCGGGGAAUACUGGCAGACUUGAGACUGUCAGAGGCAAGUGGAAUUCCCGGUGUAGUGGUGAAAUGCGUAGAUAUCGGGAGGAACACCAGUGGCGAAAGCGGCUUGCUGGGACAGUUCUGACGCUGAGGGACGAAAGCGUGGGUAGCAAACCGGAUUAGAUACCCCCGUAGUCC
Molecule: ribosomal RNA, 425 nt
Filed under: uncultured prokaryote
Description: bacterial SSU rRNA
Rfam family: Bacterial small subunit ribosomal RNA
Source: RNAcentral